GACGAACGCUGGCGGCGUGCUUAACACAUGCAAGUCGAACGGAAAGGCCCUGCUUUGGUGGGGUGCUGGAGGGGGGAACGGGUGAGUAACAGGGGAGUAACCUGCCCUGGACUUUGGGAUAACUUAAGGAAACUGGGCCUAAUACCGGAUAGGAGCUCCUCUUGCAGGGGGGGGGUUGGAAAGUUUGGGCGGUUGGGGAUGGACUGGCGGCUUAUCAGCUUGUUGGUGGGGUAGUGGCUUACCAAGGCUUUGGCGGGUAGCCGGCCUGAGAGGGUGACCGGCCACAUUGGGACUGAGAUACGGCCCAGACUCCUACGGGAGGCAGCAGUGGGGAAUAUUGCACAAUGGGCGGAAGCCUGAUGCAGCAACGCCGCGUGCGGGAUGACGGCCUUCGGGUUGUAAACCGCUUUCGCCUGUGACGAAGCGUGAGUGACGGUAAUGGGUAAAGAAGCACCGGCUAACUACGUG
This 468-nucleotide ribosomal RNA is filed under the name uncultured bacterium. RNAcentral describes it as "partial 16S ribosomal RNA". It matches the Rfam family "Bacterial small subunit ribosomal RNA", at positions 28 to 507 of the family's 1533-position model. The record is from RNAcentral.